ACGUUAUUAGUAUAUAAAUUACAUUUGACUUCCAAUCAAAAGACCGUGAACCACCCUCACGAUAACGUA
Molecule: transfer RNA, 69 nt
Filed under: Holothuria leucospilota
Lineage: Eukaryota; Metazoa; Echinodermata; Holothuroidea; Aspidochirotida; Holothuriidae
Description: tRNA-Gly
Rfam family: tRNA
About the family: Transfer RNA (tRNA) molecules are approximately 80 nucleotides in length.
Source: RNAcentral